RNAcentral lists this long non-coding RNA (653 nucleotides) under Panax ginseng (ginseng). Its description in RNAcentral is "long non-coding RNA (PGIN_LNC011228)". The record is from RNAcentral. Lineage: Eukaryota; Viridiplantae; Streptophyta; Magnoliopsida; Apiales; Araliaceae.
UCAAGCCAACCAUAAAAGGAUUCAAUUCAACCAUAAAAAUAAAAAAAGCUGCCAUCAGUCAUGUUCUUAAAACUUGAUAUUAAACAAUACACUGACUUAAACAAACUUGAAAAAAGCUGCCAUCAGUCAACCAUUUCAAUCAACACACUGUCCAAACUUGAUAUUAAACAAAGGUCAUAAAUAUUAAACAAAGUUCUUAAAAAUUAAACUUGGAUAUCUCAUGUCCCUACUGACUUCCAACUUAAUCUCUCAUGUUCUCCUUUGUGCUUGAAGUUGGUGGAUUGUUGCUUGAUGUAAGUAGGUUCUAUACAUUCUUGUAGCAGGAGGUGUGUUAUUUCUACUUGAUCCAUCUUGAUAUAUGACUUCUCCUGGAGUUGGCAUCUGUAUUUGACAUAACCAAGCACAAGUAUGGUUACAUAUGAAAAAUGACAAAUAAAAGUAACAUAAAUACUUGCAAUUUAAAAAAAGUUGUAACUCACAAAAACUAAUCCAGAGUUUUGUCCAUUCAUAUUAUCUAUUACAGCUCCCUCAGGACUAACAUAAACACCAAAUCCUGCUGGUACUUUAGCGCGGGUCUUUAUCCUCUUAACUUGCAACUUUGGUGUAGUAUUAGUCUGUAUAAAAGUAAAGAAAGAGAAGUGUAGUAUUAGUCU